This is a long non-coding RNA of Platichthys flesus (European flounder), 1155 nucleotides long. RefSeq lists it as uncharacterized. The transcript has 3 exons. The record is from RefSeq and is a predicted model, not a curated record. NCBI's taxonomy places the organism in Eukaryota, Metazoa, Chordata, Actinopteri, Pleuronectiformes, Pleuronectidae.
GUCACAGUGAGCUGCGCCCUCCCUUCUCCUUACUUUUUCCUGUGUCAUUGAACACAACUCGAGACUUUCGAUACCUCCCACUCAGUAUCGGAUGAAUAACACAGUUUGAUGUUUUGCUUGUUCUGCUGACGGACACGUUAAAGACGUCUGCGCUCCCGUUUCUGUGCAUGUCCAGCAUGAGACAACUGGAAUUCAACCACAUUGAACACCGACUUCAGGGACAGACGAGCCUGAAGGACACAGCUGUGAUGACCAUGUUCUGUCUCUUAUGGCAAAGCAGAAAUAUAAAACACUGGGUUCUUAUCUAAAGUGUAUCAAAUCAGAUCUCCACCAUGUUGCUGCUGAGGACAUCAGGUGCUGCAGUUCUUCAUCUAUGAAGAGAAAAAACGCACUGUUAAAGAAUGUUUUGUGUUGUGUAUAAAGCACAACAGAUUUCUGAUAGAACUGUUGUACUGUGGUCUUGGUUUAUAUCCUCAUGGUGAAAUGUACAUAUUUUAAGUCCCUUCUGAUAAAAGUGCUGAAAGAAAUACAACAUUGUACAAAUACAUAAAAUGUCUUUCUACCUCAUCAGUACUAUUCAAGGUGAUAAUCUCCCACAGACCUAUUGAUAACAGUCCAAAUCAAGUCUUUCCACUUCUCUCAGUGUGAAAACAUAAUUCUAUAAUUAAUUUGAGAACUGUUUACAACACUGAUGUGUGGAGAUUAAAAUCAUACCUAAACUGUCUAAUUCACUGUAAAACUCCAUGACAUUCGCAGGCCAUCUGUAGUUAAGGGAGCAACGCAUGGAAUGAUGUGUAGAUUACUAGUUUGAUGAUGCAUGAGGAGAGGCGGUGGUCGAGUGGCAGAAACUUGGACUAUGGGCAGAGAAGGUCUCUGGUUCGUCUUUGGUUCGACUCCAUGGAGAGACAACAAAAGUCGAACCUGGAUUGAUCUGUCCAAAAAUCCAAGAGUCUCCCUACCCUCUCUAGUGCCCAUGAGCAAGGCACCUCACUCCCCCAACAUCUGCUCCCCCGAGCGCCGUACAUGGUCGCUCACUGCUCUGUGUGUCCUGCACCAGAUGGGUAAAAAGCAGCGAUUAAAUUUCCCUACCUGCAUGAGUGUGCCUUUGCAUGUCUGUGCAUGUGUUUGGGAUGAAUAAAUGGAUUUUAAUCUUAA